UUUGGAUGUAGUUAGCAAGGAGAAGAAGUUGUUAUUCAUUUCUUUGUAUUUCUUAAUCUGGGGUGAAGCCGCUAACAUCCGAUUCAUUCCAGAAUGCCUGUGCUACAUAUUUCAUCAUAUGGGAAGGGAGCUGGAGGAGUUACUACGACAACAGGUUGCACAGCCGGCUAAGAGCUGUAUGUCUGAUAAUGGCGUGUCAUUUCUUGAUCAAGUUAUAUGUCCUGUUUAUGAUGCCAUUGCGGCGGAGGCUGGAAACAAUGAGAAUGGCCG
This 270-nucleotide unclassified non-coding RNA is filed under the name Hevea brasiliensis (rubber tree). The record is from RNAcentral. Lineage: Eukaryota; Viridiplantae; Streptophyta; Magnoliopsida; Malpighiales; Euphorbiaceae.